Molecule: ribosomal RNA, 470 nt
Filed under: uncultured bacterium
Lineage: Bacteria
Description: partial 16S ribosomal RNA
Rfam family: Bacterial small subunit ribosomal RNA
Source: RNAcentral
GACGAACGCUGGCGGCGUGCUUAACACAUGCAAGUCGAACGGUGAACGAGGGAGCUUGCUCCCUCCGGAUCAGUGGCGAACGGGUGAGUAACACGUGAGCAAUCUGCCCCGAACUCUGGGAUAAGCGUUGGAAACGACGUCUAAUACCGGAUACGACGCGGGAGGGCAUCCUCUCCGCGUGGAAAGAACUUCGGUUCGGGAUGAGCUCGCGGCCUAUCAGCUUGUUGGUGAGGUAACGGCUCACCGAGGCGACGACGGGUAGCCGGCCUGAGAGGGUGACCAGCCACACUGGGACUGAGACACGGCCCAGACUCCUACGGGAGGCAGCAGUGGGGAAUAUUGCACAAUGGGCGCAAGCCUGAUGCAGCAACGCCGCGUGAGGGACGACGGCCUUCGGGUUGUAAACCUCUUUUAGCAGGGAAGAAGCGAAAGUGACGGUACCUGCAGAAAAAGCACCGGCUAACUACGUG